UAACCUCUGCGCCAUUGAGACUCUGCAACUACGUAGAUAUUUUUGGUAUUCUGUGUGUCUGAUUAUUAUUGUAAAAUUAAUUAUAAUUGACUUUGAAGAGUAUUAUAUUCUAUUAAUUUUGGGUAAAAGUAUCUCUUGUUGAGUUAAAAUAAUUUCGUGUAAUAUUUUUCACACUUAUGAAGACGGUCAGUGAUUGGUCAGUGUGUGUAAUAAUAGAACCUGCUAUUGGCGGUAUUUUUGCACGAGAUACAGAACAACAAAGACGUGUCUGAUGUUGUGUCUAAAUGUAGGUGAUCAGUGUAUUACGUUGACCUUGACCUGUCGUGGUGGCCAUUUUUUGGGCCGGAUAUUGCGUGCCUUGUUUAGCUAUUCCAGUUACCGCCAUUUUAUGCCAAAAAUAGCCACAACCGGAAGGCACCAAGUAUCCAUAUUUCAUGCUAUUAAGUGUAUAGAAAAGCCGAGGCAGCUUAGAAUUACAUACAGAUCAAAAUCAUCAUAUCUCCAGUUUGAGUUAGUGUGAAGAGAAUUUCAUCUGAAAGCAGUUUAAAAUGAGCACCAAUGCUAAAGAUGCCAUCAUGCAAAGAUUCAUCACUAAUGAAUUCAUAAUUGUGACACCAAGUGCUAAUGUUUGCACGGAACUAUGUGGCUGUGGCGGCGAAAACUUCAGUGAAACAGAAUGUCAAUGUGAAUUGUGCAUUGUUCAUGCAAGCCAUGCAGGCAGUUGUGGUUCUCUGCCUAUGACAAAUCCUUCUGAUAUAGACAGUGACAGAACCGAAACAAUGUCAGAUGUCAGUUCAAGCUGUACAUUGUCAUUGGAUUCUGAAACCACUAACAAUUCAGAUGAUUCAUUUUCAUCAUCAAAGUCA
Long non-coding RNA from Ostrea edulis (European flat oyster), 866 nucleotides. RefSeq lists it as uncharacterized. The transcript is spliced from 4 exons. NCBI's taxonomy places the organism in Eukaryota, Metazoa, Mollusca, Bivalvia, Ostreida, Ostreidae. The record is from RefSeq and is a predicted model, not a curated record.